Molecule: ribosomal RNA, 253 nt
Filed under: uncultured bacterium
Lineage: Bacteria
Description: partial 16S ribosomal RNA
Rfam family: Bacterial small subunit ribosomal RNA
Source: RNAcentral
UACAGGGGGUGCAAACGUUGCUCGGAAUUAUUGGGCGUAAAGGGCGCGUAGGCGGCCACGCAAGUCGGAUGUGAAAUCCCUCGGCUCAACCGAGGAACUGCAUCCGAAACUGCGAGGCUCGAGUCCUGGAGAGGGUAGUGGAAUUCCCAGUGUAGCGGUGAAAUGCGUAGAUACUGGGAAGAACACCGGAGGCGAAGGCGGAUUGCUGGGCCGACACUGACGCUGAGGCGCGAAAGCCAGGGGAGCAAACGGG